UGGGGAAUAUUGCACAAUGGGCGCAAGCCUGAUGCAGCCAUGCCGCGUGUAUGAAGAAGGCCUUCGGGUUGUAAAGUACUUUCAGUCGGGAGGAAGGUGGUAAGGUUAAUAACCUUAUCAAUUGACGUUACCGACAGAAGAAGCACCGGCUAACUCCGUGCCAGCAGCCGCGGUAAUACGGAGGGUGCAAGCGUUAAUCGGAAUUACUGGGCGUAAAGCGCACGCAGGCGGUUGAUUGAGUCAGAUGUGAAAUCCCCGGGCUUAACCCGGGAAUUGCAUCUGAGACUGGUCAGCUAGAGUCUUGUAGAGGGGGGUAGAAUUCCAUGUGUAGCGGUGAAAUGCGUAGAGAUGUGGAGGAAUACCGGUGGCGAAGGCGGCCCCCUGGACAAAGACUGACGCUCAGGUGCGAAAGCGUGGGGAGCAAACAGG
This 429-nucleotide ribosomal RNA is filed under the name Chloroflexota bacterium. Its description in RNAcentral is "Chloroflexi bacterium partial 16S ribosomal RNA". It matches the Rfam family "Bacterial small subunit ribosomal RNA", at positions 355 to 776 of the family's 1533-position model. The record is from RNAcentral. Lineage: Bacteria; Bacillati; Chloroflexota.